RNAcentral lists this long non-coding RNA (343 nucleotides) under Glycine max (soybean). Its description in RNAcentral is "long non-coding RNA (GMAX_LNC001458)". The record is from RNAcentral. Lineage: Eukaryota; Viridiplantae; Streptophyta; Magnoliopsida; Fabales; Fabaceae.
GCUUGCAAGAGGACAAAAUGCAAGUUGGGAGUUCUGAAGUUGAUCAAGAUAUGGCUCCUCUUUGGUGAUUCAUGGAGGAAAACAUAAAGCUCCAAUGGACUUUGACUUAAAUGCAAAGGCAGACAGUGGUUUUGAUUUAAAUAAAUUUCCAGAAGAAGAAUUUUCUGAAGAGGGAUCUCAACCGCUGGAGAGAAAGAUGCUAAAAAUUCUUUUACCUGCGUUUUAUAAUUUAGAGCUCUGUAGUAAUGAAAUAAUGGUGUCAGUAUGCUUGAUACUGAGAUAUUGUUAAUGCUUGAGGGUUCUUGAUAGCAGGUCUGUUAUGAAAUUAUUGCGGUCAUAGGAA